This 33-nucleotide ribosomal RNA is filed under the name Debaryomyces hansenii. Its description in RNAcentral is "partial 28S ribosomal RNA". RNAcentral also lists the same sequence under 2 other names. Lineage: Eukaryota; Fungi; Ascomycota; Pichiomycetes; Serinales; Debaryomycetaceae. The record is from RNAcentral.
UUGACCUCAAAUCAGGUAGGAUUACCCGCUGAA